Molecule: long non-coding RNA, 395 nt
Organism: Selaginella moellendorffii
Lineage: Eukaryota; Viridiplantae; Streptophyta; Lycopodiopsida; Selaginellales; Selaginellaceae
Exons: 3
Source: RefSeq, a predicted model, not a curated record
AUGGCUUCUUGCCACUGGGCAGCAUGAAGUCCAGUUAAUGCCUCGUCAACAUUCGCUGGAAUGGGGAUUCGUUCUGGAUUAGCAGCCACGAAGUUAGCCUGCUUCCAGUUGCAGCCUCGAUGGUACGGGAACUCGAGCAGAGCACCGUGGUUCAGGACGUGCUGGAGGGUGGAUCACAGGUUGUGGAACAAGUGGAGAGUCUGGGAGAGCUCCCACUGAAGUUGGCGACCUGCUUCCAGCUCCCACUGAAGGUGAUGAUCCACGUCCAGCUCCCACUGAAGAUGAGCCGAGGAAGAACUCAGGAGCAGCUUGAAAUUUCUCGUCGCCCUCGAAAGGCGUAGCUGGAGGGUGUGGUGGCAGUGCUGGAAGAACCACCACGUUACCACCAGCUGGAG